GACGAACGCUGGCGGCGUGCCUAAUACAUGCAAGUAGAACACUGAAGAGAGGAGCUUGCUCUUCUUGGAUGAGUUGCGAACGGGUGAGUAACGCGUAGGUAACCUGCCUUGUAGCGGGGGAUAACUAUUGGAAACGAUAGCUAAUACCGCAUAACAAUGGAUGACACAUGUCAUUUAUUUGAAAGGGGCAAUUGCUCCACUACAAGAUGGACCUGCGUUGUAUUAGCUAGUAGGUGAGGUAAUGGCUCACCUAGGCGACGAUACAUAGCCGACCUGAGAGGGUGAUCGGCCACACUGGGACUGAGACACGGCCCAGACUCCUACGGGAGGCAGCAGUAGGGAAUAGUCGGCAAUGGGGGCAACCCUGACCGAGCAACGCCGCGUGAGUGAAGAAGGUUUUCGGAUCGUAAAGCUCUGUUGUAAGUCAAGAACGGGUGUGAGAGUGGAAAGUUCACACUGUGACGGUAGCUUACCAGAAAGGGACGGCUAACUACGUG
This 497-nucleotide ribosomal RNA is filed under the name uncultured bacterium. RNAcentral describes it as "partial 16S ribosomal RNA". It matches the Rfam family "Bacterial small subunit ribosomal RNA", at positions 28 to 507 of the family's 1533-position model. The record is from RNAcentral.